AACCUAGCACACCUGCGGUGUGUACCUGCGGAGGGAUCAUUAAAUAAAUAAGAAGUAUUUCGGGCUUGUCCUGAUCUACUAUCUAUUUUACUGUGAACUGUUUUAUUUCAUGGCGUUUGAGGGAUGUUCUUGUGCUAUAUGGGUAGGCAUGAGAAAUGUUAACCGAGCUAUGGUCAAGCUUAGGCUUGGUACCCUGUUUAUAUACUUUCAAUUGAUCAGAUUAUAAAAUGUAACAUAGGU
This 240-nucleotide unclassified non-coding RNA is filed under the name soil metagenome. Its description in RNAcentral is "partial contains 5.8S ribosomal RNA, internal transcribed spacer 2, and large subunit ribosomal RNA". The record is from RNAcentral.